GUAACACCGGCAGCCCGAGUGGUGAUCACUAUUAUUGGGUCUAAAGGGUCCGUAGCCGGUUUAAUCUGUCUUCUGGGAAAUCUAAUCGCGUAACUAUUAGGCUUCCAGGGGAUACUGUUAGACUUGGGACCGGGAGAGGUAAGAGGUACUGCAGGGGUAGGAGUGAAAUCUUGUAAUCCCUGUGAGACCACCAGUGGCGAAGGCGUCUUACCAGAACGGGUCCGACGGUGAGGGACGAAAGCUGGGGGCACGAACCGGAUUAGAUACCCGGGUAGUCCCAGCUGUAAACGAUGCUCGUUAGGUGUCAGGAACGGUGCGACUGUUUCUGGUGCCGAAGGGAAGCCGUGAAACGAGCCACCUGGGAAGUACGGCCGCAAGGCUGAAACUUAAAGGAAUUGGCGGGGGAGCACUACAACGGGUGGAGCCUGCGGUUUAAUUGGACUCAACGCCGGAAAACUCACCGGGGGCGACAGCAAUAUGUAGGUCAGGUUAAAGGUCUUACCUGAAUCGCUGAGAGGAGGUGCAUGGCCGUCGUCAGUUCGUACUGUGAAGCAUCCUGUUAAGUCAGGCAACGAGCAAGACCCGUGCCCACUGUUACCAGCAUAUCCUUUAUGGAUGAUGGGGACUCUGUGGGGACCGCUGCUGCUAAGGCAGAGGAAGGUGCGGGCUACGGUAGGUCAGUAUGCCCCGAAUCUCCCGGGCUACACGCGGGCUACAAUGGUUGGGACAAUGGGUAUCUACUCCGAAAGGAGUUGGCAAUCUCUUAAACCCAAUCGUAGUUCGAAUUGAGGGCUGUAACUCGCCCUCAUGAAGCUGGAAUCCGUAGUAAUCGCGUUUCAACAUAGCGCGGU
RNAcentral lists this ribosomal RNA (851 nucleotides) under uncultured archaeon. RNAcentral describes it as "bacterial SSU rRNA". It matches the Rfam family "Archaeal small subunit ribosomal RNA", at positions 470 to 1319 of the family's 1478-position model. The record is from RNAcentral.